AAGUGUUAAUUUUUGUUUUAACUUUCAGGCGGCCAGAGACUUCCUUCCUGUGGUUCACUUCCCCAUGGAAGACACUGAAAUUCAUCAUCUGGCACAACUACAAAUGGUACAUACUUGGAUUCUUUCUCAUUCUCCUCCUCAUCCUCUUCAUUGGCCUCAUCCUCUACAGCAUCCCAGGAGCCUCUGUCAACAAAGUGCUUGGCGUCGGCACAUAAAAAUGAAACACAAGAAAGAAUAUGGAAAUCAUGCAAGAAAAAAAUUUAAGAACCUCGCAUUGAUAUCUCUUAAUAUGCAUUUUUAUAAUGAUAAUGAUGAGAAAGUACUUGGCAAAAAAUUAAUUCAAAAGUACACAGAAUAGAUUACUUUUUAGAUUAGGAACUUUAGCAGGCCUUGACAUAGCAUUUAUUUACAAUUCAAAGCCUUAUUGAUAAGAUAACAUAUAUUGGUAUAUAUUUUCAUACGCUAGGAUCUUUACCUGCUAAAUGUGUACGUUGAUGAAAAAUAAAAAUUUAAAAUGUGAAAUAUAUAGAAAAUGAAUGUAUUGGACUCACUGUAGUUUUCCGCCAAAUUAUAUCUGUUGAAAUGGGUCUUCCUAUUCCUUUCAAUUCUGGGUCCAAAUCUCUUUGUCUUCCACAAUUACAAAUGAGGAUAUUUUUUCUUUAAUAUAAAGUCGGAAGAAGUCCAUUCCAUGAAAUUUGAUUGAAUAUUUCUUAAACAAUAUAGUCAUUUUAAGUUAAUUUGAUUAUAUUUAGGUGUUUUUGUAAUUUUGUGGUUGGACAGUACACCAUAAAGCAUAUGUGAUGAAUUUUCUAUUGUUGAAAUAAGGAAUAAUAAGUGAGUGUGAGUAAUAGUUUUUCUGUACUACAGUUAUGUUAUCACAAAUAAAUGUCUUUUACUUCAUUACAGUUUUGAUGUGUGUCAUUAUUAGGUGAAUGUCAGUGGGGGUGGGGCAGAAAUGGUGGCCUAUGGGUCAAAUAAACACUGUCGUAAAAAAAAAAUACUGUAUAAUAGAAUGAUAAAUUUUCAUUUUCCUAAAUACUUACUUAUUUCAAAGUCGGAUUUGCUGGUUUCUCAGGAAUUUUUGGCCCCUGUAAAUUGGCCUUCCUCAGCAUAAAUUAAUAACUCCUUCACCACAACCAGAUUUUGUCGCCUCUCCUGUUCAAGGAAAUUCCACGCAGAGAACGCCAAAUUCUUUUAAAUUCAUGAAAAAUGCUUAAGAACUUGUGAGAUCUGAAACAUCUGUAGACCUAUUUUUUAAUAAAUUUUAACAUAGAUUUCAACCAAACAAGAUAUGUAUUGUAUUGAAUCAGGUGAAUUUUGUUUCAUAGAAUCGAUAUUAAACAAUAAUUAUGUUAAUAUGCUGAUAUUGAGUUGGGGAUGCUGAUAUUUUUUCAAUUAAAUUUCUUUACUUUAUAGCAAGUCAUUAGUAGUUUUUGUUAUUUUUCCCACGAUGGUAAUUAAAUAAUCUAGUUGCUUGAAUGGGGGAAAAAAUGGUUGAUGAAAUAGACAUGGGAUUUGAUAUUAUUUGUUUGGAUCAUGAUACCAUAUCAAUUCAAUAUUUUUUCUUUAUUGGAACAUCAGGAAUUCCUAAUGAUUUUUAAUAAACAACAACGAAAUGUUAAAUCAAUAUGGCUUCACUCAGUCUGGUUGGAGUUAUUUAAUAUCAGAAUAUAUUCAGUGGAUUAGUUUUUUUGUUUGUUUUUGUUUUUGUUUUUUUGCUUUGCCUAUUUUAAUUUUAAAAAAAUAUACGAUAUAAUAGCUCAAUUUAGUACUCAAUAACAAAAUGCGUAUAUUUUCCAAGGACGAUGUAUUUUAAAAGCAAUAUAAUAACGAUGAUGGUGGUGAUGUACUAUCAGUCAAAAUACACGAAAAUACCUAUAAAAAAAAAUUUAAAAAAAAUUAGUAGCUCGUUUAAAAGAAUCAAAUAAAUAUAACCAUUCAAGGAACAGAUCGAAAAAAGAAAUGUUUUCACCAAUUUACAGGCAUUUUACUACAAAUUCCUUAAGUUGACUUGCAAUCGAUUUUUGUAUUAAAAUGUCUGUAAAUCGGUGAAAACAUUUUUUUAUCUGUUUCUCAUUAGAAGCUUAUACGGUAAUUCAAUUGAUCCUUUAAAUGAGCUUUUCAAUAUUUUAUUUGAAUUUUUAAGGUUAUUUUCCUGUUUUGUGACUGAUAGUACAUCAUUAGCAGUGGUGAUAAUGAUUAUCAUGUUAUAAAUAAUUGUAACAUAAUAAAAACAUUGACGGAUAAAAAAAUAGGUGUGGUUUGAAUAGCUAAACUUAGAUCUACAGUCCUCAAUGAGAAACUACAGUCGUGGGACAAAUAGUAUUUAAAUUUAACUAUUUUCAUAAUUGUAGAGUUAACAAAUUUGAUAAUAUAAUAAUAUAUGUUUUUGCCACUGUAGUCUUUUAUUUUUAAGAGAGAAAAAAAAAAGUUCUAAAUGUUAGAAAAUAUUUCGUAAUACAAUAUAGGCCAGCUGAACAAGAAUCAUUUUUUGGAUGCUUAUUUUUAUCUGUAUAAUAUUACAUCUGAUCUUAUAUGUAAUUGGUGCCCCAUCGUUUAAAAAAAAAAUUGUAUUAGCCCUGUCAAGAGUGUGUUGUAUAAUAUCCGAGUACCUGUAUAUCAUAAAAACGUGUAUGCCUAGAUUUUAUUUAAUAUUGGUAACUAGAGUAUUACGUUAUGACGUAGCGUGAUUUUAUAGUUGCGAGUAUAACAUCGUACGAUGUGAGGGCGUCUUCGUGCUUAACCAUGUCGCUAUUCCCCUACACAACAGGUUUUGUUUCAGGAUGGACUGAUAUCAAAAUCAGAUCUAUCAUCAACUCUACAAGUGCGAAUUAUUCAACUUCCGAAGCAGGCCUGCAUUCGCAUAAAUACUCGCGUUGUUCUGUUUUUACAUUUCAUUAUUUAUUGGGUCAGCACAGAAUUGUGUUUGUAGAAUUAGAACACGGGAUUAGAAAGGUGACCGAGGCCAAUUACUCAAAUGAAUCAAUAUAGGAUACAAGUUGAAUCGAUUCGUUCCCACAUCCGAAAACCUAAACAAAUCGGAAGUCUCUUGAGAAUGAUAUUUUAAGUAUGUUUGUCCGCACAAUCAUUAGCACAUGUUGUGUUACCUAGAUACAGGUACAUGACAAAUCAUCCCCCAGCAAACAUAAUGAAAAUAUACCAAAUAAUACAAUUUUAGAUUCUGGGAGUAGUCUCUCUGGCUAGGGGGUCAUUGGCUUUUGUAUUUUUUACGACAAACCUAAUUUUUUACUGUCAAAAUAAUGAUGUUAAGUUAUGUUUUUUGUUUAAUUUAAUCAGAUGUUCUGAGUAUGCCUACCUCCAGUUUUCAACCAAUCAUGUAGGCCUAAUUUUUAUGAGACCACGCGGCACGUCUCUCUACAAUUAAUCCUAAACUCUGCUGCUUAAUUCUUUGCAACUUCUUUUUGUGUAAAUUUAUAAUGAUGACGAUUUCUUUCUGUUUCAUUUUUUUUUAAACACGAUAUAGUUGUUAAAAUAGAACUAGUUUAGUCCUAAUAAUUCAUUCAUUAGAAACCCUUGUUUGUAUAUUUUUGUAGCAAAGUUAUAUGAUACUGUGUUUAGUUAUCAAUAUUGUGAGUGAAAUAAAAUUUGAUUUAUUAUUAAA
This 3622-nucleotide long non-coding RNA is filed under the name Anneissia japonica. RNAcentral's name for it is "uncharacterized LOC117124371". The record is from RNAcentral. Lineage: Eukaryota; Metazoa; Echinodermata; Crinoidea; Comatulida; Comatulidae.